CCUACGGGAGGCAGCAGUAGGGAAUAUUGCACAAUGGGGGGAACCCUGAUGCAGCGACGCCGCGUGGGUGAAGGAGUACUUCGGUAUGUAAAGCCCUAUCAGCAGGGAAGAACAAGGAUGGUCACAGACUACGAAGCAUCGGCGAAAUACGUGCCAGCAGCCGCGGUAAUACGUAGGGUGCCAGCGUGAUCCGUAUUUACUGGGUGUGAAGGGUGCGGAGGCGGCCCGUUAAACCUGGUGUGAAAGCCCGCGGCCCAACCGCUGGAGUGCAUGGGGAACUGGGCGGCUGGAGUGCCGGAGAGGUAGGCGGAAUUCCGAGUGUAGCGGUGAAAUGCGUAGAUAUUAGGAAGAACACCAGUGGCGAAGGCGGCCUACUGGACGGUGACUGACGCUGAGGCUCGAAAGCGUGGGGAGCAAACAGGAUUAGAUACCCGUGUAGUC
Molecule: ribosomal RNA, 441 nt
Filed under: uncultured bacterium
Lineage: Bacteria
Description: partial 16S ribosomal RNA
Rfam family: Bacterial small subunit ribosomal RNA
Source: RNAcentral